This 227-nucleotide unclassified non-coding RNA is filed under the name Hevea brasiliensis (rubber tree). Lineage: Eukaryota; Viridiplantae; Streptophyta; Magnoliopsida; Malpighiales; Euphorbiaceae. The record is from RNAcentral.
GCUUUUUCUAGCAGUGGCAUCACAAAACUAUAGUAAGCAACACAAAAGAAGAGUUUGGAAGGAACAAUGCUCAUACUGUGUUUCAUUUCUUGUCAAAUAAACCGCCGAACACCCCACCGCCACCGCCGCCUUUCUUCUUAGCAGGGAUGGAGACGCUGGUGGUCGACUUUUUGGACCCGGUCGAGCCGGUGCCGGUGCCGUUGCUGGUGCCGCUCUUCUCCACCUUU